AAGGGCGUGCAUAAUCAUGCAGUCGAGCGGAAGAUGGGAGCUUGCUCCCUGAUGUUAGCGGCGGACGGGUGAGUAACACGUGGGUAACCUGCCUGUAAGACUGGGAUAACUCCGGGAAACCGGGCCUAAUACCGGAUGCUUGCUUGACCCAUGGUCAAAUGGAAAACCCCGAUCCGACUAGGACUUCCGAUGGGCCCCCGGUCCACCUCAGUUGCCAUGUACGGGUACCCCGGAAACACCCCGUAUCAAACCGAAAAAAUGCUCGCCGGGGGUGGGACAAAUCGGAGAUACCCGGGGGUUGACGGGAGCGCCUCGUCAGAAAGAGGGAUGCAGAAGCAAAACCCCGGGUUGGGGGUUAUUGCUUUUUUUUUUUUAAACCUCUCUUGACACGGAGAUCGCCCCCUUUG
RNAcentral lists this ribosomal RNA (407 nucleotides) under Bacillus vallismortis. RNAcentral's name for it is "partial 16S ribosomal RNA". Lineage: Bacteria; Bacillati; Bacillota; Bacilli; Caryophanales; Bacillaceae. The record is from RNAcentral.